RNAcentral lists this ribosomal RNA (253 nucleotides) under uncultured bacterium. RNAcentral's name for it is "partial 16S ribosomal RNA". It matches the Rfam family "Bacterial small subunit ribosomal RNA", at positions 524 to 776 of the family's 1533-position model. The record is from RNAcentral.
UACGGAGGGUGCAAGCGUUAUCCGGAUUUACUGGGUUUAAAGGGUGCGUAGGUGGGUCUGUAAGUCAGUGGUGAAAUCUCCGAGCUUAACUCGGAAACUGCCAUUGAUACUAUAGAUCUUGAAUUAUCUGGAGGUAAGCGGAAUAUGUCAUGUAGCGGUGAAAUGCUUAGAUAUGACAUAGAACACCAAUUGCGAAGGCAGCUUACUACGGAUAUAUUGACACUGAGGCACGAAAGCGUGGGGAUCAAACAGG